RNAcentral lists this long non-coding RNA (279 nucleotides) under Phoenix dactylifera (date palm). Its description in RNAcentral is "long non-coding RNA (PDAC_LNC021375)". Lineage: Eukaryota; Viridiplantae; Streptophyta; Magnoliopsida; Arecales; Arecaceae. The record is from RNAcentral.
CGAUACACCUUGAGGCUUGUUAUUUGGUUAGUAUAUCCUAUGCAUCAAUCAUGAACCAAAUUACAAUUCAAAUAGUUGAUCUUAAGAGCCUCUAACUUAAUGAAAAAGGGGAAGAAUAAUGUGUUGAAUUUUCUUGAGUAUCUCAUAGAAAAUCUAUUUUGGAAUUCACUAAUGAGUCCUAAUUGGCUUACUCUUUAGAACUUCAAUUUUGUGCCAAUUCAUAUCUCUAUAUAUAUAUCAAAUUGUGCUUAUUUUCUAAAAGAAUAAAAGAAAGUUUGU